GCCCUGGUGGUGCAACAGUAAGCGCUUGGCUGCUAACUAACAGGUUGGUGGUUCAAACCCACCCAGGGGCU
Molecule: transfer RNA, 71 nt
Filed under: Loxodonta africana (African savanna elephant)
Lineage: Eukaryota; Metazoa; Chordata; Mammalia; Proboscidea; Elephantidae
Rfam family: tRNA
About the family: Transfer RNA (tRNA) molecules are approximately 80 nucleotides in length. Their secondary structure includes four short double-helical elements and three loops (D, anti-codon, and T loops).
Source: Rfam by way of RNAcentral